This 397-nucleotide ribosomal RNA is filed under the name uncultured bacterium. RNAcentral's name for it is "partial 16S ribosomal RNA". It matches the Rfam family "Bacterial small subunit ribosomal RNA", at positions 523 to 918 of the family's 1533-position model. The record is from RNAcentral.
AUACGUAGGGGGCGAGCGUUGUCCGGAAUGAUUGGGCGUAAAGGGCGCGUAGGCGGCCCGGUAAGUCUGGAGUGAAAGUCCUGUUUUUAAGAUGGGAAUUGCUUUGGAUACUGUCGGGCUUGAGUGCAGGAGAGGUAAGUGGAAUUCCCAGUGUAGCGGUGAAAUGCGUAUAGAUUGGGAGGAACACCAGUGGCGAAGGCGACUUACUGGACUGUAACUGACGCUGAGGCGCGAAAGUGUGGGGAGCAAACAGGAUUAGAUGCCCUGGUAGUCCACACUGUAAACGAUGAAUGCUAGGUGUAGGGGGUAUCGACCCCUUCUGUGCCGCAGUCAACACAAUAAGCAUUCCGCCUGGGGAGUACGGCCGCAAGGUUGAAACUCAAAUGAAUUGACGGGG